Molecule: ribosomal RNA, 435 nt
Filed under: Triticum aestivum (bread wheat)
Lineage: Eukaryota; Viridiplantae; Streptophyta; Magnoliopsida; Poales; Poaceae
Description: partial small subunit ribosomal RNA
Source: RNAcentral
AUGCUACCGACAAAUAUGCUCAAUGCUGCAACCGGUGCUAUGCGGAGUCUGCAUGACAGUGUUCUUUCUUUGGAGAAGCAGCGUCUCAGGGAGAAGGAUGUGGCAUACCCAGUUUUCGCGGCCAAGGUGCCAGAGGGCGAGGGCUUUGUGGAUAACUCCAUCGGGCGUACGAUCGUCCUGCGUUUUGAUGACAUCCACGCUAUGUUGAACCUUCAUCCGCUGCACUACACCUUCGUUCGGCUAUUUUCGCUGAGUAUGGAGAUGCGGAUCAUUCGCGACAAGACCCCGGACAUCGUGAUAGUCGACCCCUUCUACAUGCGUGCCAAGAUCUUGGGCAGCGCUGGGGACCGGCAAGUCACGAGUUCUUACCUCGAAGGCGUCAUUCUGGCAAACCAAGAUAAGGAUAACUUCCUCGUGCCUUACUUUCCCGAGUAA